UACAGAGGUCCCAAGCGUUGUUCGGAUUCAUUGGGCGUAAAGGGUGCGUAGGCGGCUCGGUAAGUCGGGUGUGAAAUCUCGGGGCUUAACUCCGAAACUGCAUUCGAUACUGCCGUGCUUGAGGACUGGAGAGGAGACUGGAAUUUACGGUGUAGCGGUGAAAUGCGUAGAUAUCGUAAGGAAGACCAGUGGCGAAGGCGGGUCUCUGGACAGUUCCUGACGCUGAGGCACGAAGGCGAGGGGAGCAAACGGG
RNAcentral lists this ribosomal RNA (253 nucleotides) under uncultured bacterium. RNAcentral's name for it is "partial 16S ribosomal RNA". It matches the Rfam family "Bacterial small subunit ribosomal RNA", at positions 524 to 776 of the family's 1533-position model. The record is from RNAcentral.